GCUAACUACGGUCCAGAGGCCGGGGUAAGAGGAAGGAUGGAAGCGUUAUCCGGAGGCAUUGGGUUUAAAGUGUGCGUAGGCGGACUUGUAAGUCAGUGGUGAAAUCUCUUUGCUUAACAAAGAAACUGCCAUUGAUACUGCUAGUCUAGAGUAUAUAUGACGUUGGCGGAAUAUGACAUGUAGUGGUGAAAUACUUAGAUAUGUCAUAGAACACCGAUUGCGAAGGCAGCUAACGAAACUAUAACUGACGCUGAGGCACGAAAGUGCGGGGAUCAAACAGGAUUAGAUACCCCGGUAGUC
Molecule: ribosomal RNA, 300 nt
Filed under: uncultured Alteromonas sp.
Lineage: Bacteria; Pseudomonadati; Pseudomonadota; Gammaproteobacteria; Alteromonadales; Alteromonadaceae
Description: bacterial SSU rRNA
Rfam family: Bacterial small subunit ribosomal RNA
Source: RNAcentral